RNAcentral lists this ribosomal RNA (304 nucleotides) under Halalkalibacter nanhaiisediminis. Its description in RNAcentral is "Bacillus nanhaiisediminis partial 23S ribosomal RNA". It matches the Rfam family "Bacterial large subunit ribosomal RNA", at positions 2622 to 2925 of the family's 2925-position model. The record is from RNAcentral. Lineage: Bacteria; Bacillati; Bacillota; Bacilli; Caryophanales; Bacillaceae.
UGAGACAGUUCGGUCCCUAUCCGUCGCGGGCGUAGGAAAUUUGAGAGGAGCUGUCCUUAGUACGAGAGGACCGGGAUGGACACACCGCUGGUGUACCAGUUGUUCCGCCAGGAGCAUCGCUGGGUAGCUACGUGUGGACGGGAUAAGUGCUGAAAGCAUCUAAGCAUGAAGCCCCCCUCAAGAUGAGAUUUCCCAUGGAGUUAAUCCAGUAAGACCCCUUAGAGAUGAUGAGGUUGAUAGGUCUGGUGUGGAAGCGUGGCGACACGUGGAGCUGACAGAUACUAAUCGGUCGAGGACUUAUCCA